This 429-nucleotide ribosomal RNA is filed under the name Chloroflexota bacterium. RNAcentral describes it as "Chloroflexi bacterium partial 16S ribosomal RNA". It matches the Rfam family "Bacterial small subunit ribosomal RNA", at positions 355 to 776 of the family's 1533-position model. The record is from RNAcentral. Lineage: Bacteria; Bacillati; Chloroflexota.
UGGGGAAUAUUGCACAAUGGGCGCAAGCCUGAUGCAGCCAUGCCGCGUGUAUGAAGAAGGCCUUCGGGUUGUAAAGUACUUUCAGCGGGGAGGAAGGGAGUAAAGUUAAUACCUUUGCUCAUUGACGUUACCCGCAGAAGAAGCACCGGCUAACUCCGUGCCAGCAGCCGCGGUAAUACGGAGGGUGCAAGCGUUAAUCGGAAUUACUGGGCGUAACGCGCACGCAGGCGGUUUGUUAAGUCAGAUGUGAAAUCCCCGGGCUCAACCUGGGAACUGCAUCGGAUACUGGCAAGCUUGAGUCUCGUAGAGGGGGGUAGAAUUCCAGGUGUAGCGGUGAAAUGCGUAGAGAGCUGGAGGAAUACCGGUGGCGAAGGCGGCCCCCUGGACGAAGACUGACGCUCAGGUGCGAAAGCGUGGGGAGCAAACAGG